AAAUUGAAGAGUUUGAUCAUGGCUCAGAUUGAACGCUGGCGGCAGGCCUAACACAUGCAAGUCGAACGGUAACAGGAAGCAGCUUGCUGCUUUGCUGACGAGUGGCGGACGGGUGAGUAAUCUCUGGGAAACUGCCUGAUGGAGGGGGAUAACUACUGGAAACGGUGGCUAAUACCGCAUAACGUCGCAAGACCAAAGAGGGGGACCUUCGGGCCUCUUGCCAUCAGAUGUGCCCAGAUGGGAUUAGCUAGUUGGUGAGGUAACGGCUCACCAAGGCGACGAUCCCUAGCUGGUCUGAGAGGAUGACCAGCCACACUGGAACUGAGACACGGUCCAGACUCCUACGGGAGGCAGCAGUGGGGAAUAUUGCACAAUGGGCGCAAGCCUGAUGCAGCCAUGCCGCGUGUAUGAAGAAGGCCUUCGGGUUGUAAAGUACUUUCAGCGGGGAGGAAGGUGUUGUGGUUAAUAACCACAGCAAUUGACGUUACCCGCAG
This 494-nucleotide ribosomal RNA is filed under the name Salmonella enterica. RNAcentral describes it as "bacterial SSU rRNA". It matches the Rfam family "Bacterial small subunit ribosomal RNA", at positions 1 to 484 of the family's 1533-position model. The record is from RNAcentral. Lineage: Bacteria; Pseudomonadati; Pseudomonadota; Gammaproteobacteria; Enterobacterales; Enterobacteriaceae.